Long non-coding RNA from Ictalurus punctatus (channel catfish), 1694 nucleotides. NCBI's taxonomy places the organism in Eukaryota, Metazoa, Chordata, Actinopteri, Siluriformes, Ictaluridae. The record is from Ensembl.
GAGAGAGAGAGAGAGAGAGAGCGAGGGAGAGAUUGCACUGGGGAGUUGAGUGUGUGUGAGAGAGAGAGGGAGAGAGAGAGCGCGCACUGGGGAUGUGUGUGUGAGAGAGAGAGAGAGAGAGAGAGAGAGCGAGCGCGAGCGCAUUGGGGAGGUGUGUGUGAGAGAGUGAGAGAGAGACAGAGAGAGAGAGCGCACUGGGGAUGGGAGAGGGAGAGAGAGAGACAGAGCACUGGGGAGGUGUCCGACACAUGACCAGACGUUCGCGCCUCUUUUGGAUUCCCGAAGAUUCAAAACAAGUUUUCGAGUUGUCAAAUACGACGCCACAGCACGAAAUCCUGCCGAAGUUUCCGAGAAGUUGAUCAUCUUCAACAAUGAGGAGGCGCUUGGAGAGAGGGCCUUCUACUGCUUGCUUUGCUUUUCUUUUCUUCUCUUCAUGUUUACACUAAGGUCACAAGGGAAAUCCUAGAUUGAUAAUUAGAAAAAAAAAGUCAUUUGAGAAUAGUCAACUAGUUCCUGGAUUUAAGUUUAAACUUUAGGUUUGAUUGGAGUUUGUGUGGUUUUACUUGGUUCCUUCCGUUCUCCUCAAUGGAGAUCCUCCAUUUUGAUGAUAAAGGGCGCGUGGAAAACACGCUGCUCACGAGCUCGAGUAUUUCAUGUGAAUCCGGUCUGCUAUUUCAGAUAAACGCGAAUAUCACAGUUUAACCACAAAACUGAAAAAGUUUCCGACGUGGAGCUAAAAUUGCACUCGCUUGGAUGACGAUUCCUUAAAAUUAUUCUCCAGGAAGGGAUUGGGAAGGCCACGUGGCUUGCCAUCAACUCAUGCCAUAUCUAAGUAGCCCUUAUGUUUUUUUUUUUUUAACACAAGAGUUUAUUUACCUUACUGAACGAUGAAGCAAAUUACGCAGCAAACGUUUGAAUUAAGAAAGUCUGACGUGUCUGAAAUUUGAUCACUGAACUUAAAUGGAUUUCUACAAAGCAACCUAAGUCACGUGGCUGUGCUUGUUUCCUGCGGUGAGUUUUCAUUAAUCUGCUGAUCCUCCCCUAUAUUAUACUUCAAUAAGUGAUUGGGAAGGAAGGCCACGUGAUCGGACAUCAAACUGUAGUGUCCAAGUAGCCGACGUCUCUUUUAGCUAGGUAAGAGUUAGUUUUUGUAUUAAGUGAUGAGGUGGAUUACUCGUUAAGCAGCCCCGAUUAGGAAACCAAUGUUGGAAAUUAAAUUAAAUCCACGUGCUUGUUGUUGAUUCCAUAAAGUGUUUGCAUUAAUCUGUUAAAGUGUUUGUUGUUUCUGGCAAGUGACAUUUUCCCUUCACAGCUAUUUUAAUUUUUUUUAUAUAUGUAUAAAAUGUAUGUAUAUAAAAUGUGUGUGUGAGAGAUAUAUAUAUCACAUUUAUUUAUUUGUGUAUAUAUACAUUUUCCCCUCAUAGCUAUUUUAAAUUAUAUAUAUAUAUAUAUAUAUAAUAUUGUGUAUAUAUUAUAUAUACAUUUGUUUAUAUAUUUCACUCAUAGCUAUUUUAAAUUAUAUAUAUAUAAUUUUGUGUAUAUAUUAUAUAUACAUUUGUUUAUAUAUUUCACUCAUAGCUAUUUUAAAUUAUAUAUAUAAAAUAUACACAUUUAUUUAUUUUUCUGUGCAUAUAUACAUUUUCCCCUCAUAGCUAUUUUAAAUUAUAUAUAUAUAUAUAUAUAUAUAUAUAUAU